This 305-nucleotide ribosomal RNA is filed under the name uncultured bacterium. Its description in RNAcentral is "bacterial SSU rRNA". It matches the Rfam family "Bacterial small subunit ribosomal RNA", at positions 337 to 634 of the family's 1533-position model. The record is from RNAcentral.
GCCUACGGGGGGCAGCAGUAGGGAAUCUUCCACAAUGGGCGAAAGCCUGAUGGAGCAACGCCGCGUGGGUGAAGAAGGUCUUCGGAUCGUAAAACCCUGUUGUUAGAGAAGAAAGUGCGUGAGAGUAACUGUUCACGUUUCGACGGUAUCUAACCAGAAAGCCACGGCUAACUACGUGCCAGCAGCCGCGGUAAUACGUAGGUGGCAAGCGUUAUCCGGAUUUAUUGGGCGUAAAGGGAACGCAGGCGGUCUUUUGAGUCUGAUGUGAAAGCCUUCGGCUUAACCGGAGUAGUGCAUUGGAAACU